This 66-nucleotide transfer RNA is filed under the name Marmota monax (woodchuck). RNAcentral's name for it is "tRNA.Val". The record is from RNAcentral. Lineage: Eukaryota; Metazoa; Chordata; Mammalia; Rodentia; Sciuridae.
GGAUGUAGCUUGGUGGUAGAGCACUUGCCUAACAUGUUGCGCUCCUGGGUUCGAUCCCCAGCACCA